RNAcentral lists this ribosomal RNA (1070 nucleotides) under Ovis aries musimon (mouflon). RNAcentral's name for it is "SSU rRNA". It matches the Rfam family "Eukaryotic small subunit ribosomal RNA", at positions 1 to 1081 of the family's 1831-position model. The record is from RNAcentral. RNAcentral also lists the same sequence under 1 other name. Lineage: Eukaryota; Metazoa; Chordata; Mammalia; Artiodactyla; Bovidae.
UCUGGUUGAUCCUGCCAGUAGUCAUAUGCUUGUCUCAAAGAUUAAGCCAUGCAUGUCUAAGUAUAAGCAAUUUAUACAGUGAAACUGCGAAUGGCUCAUUAAAUCAGUUAUCGUUUAUUUGAUAGUUCCUUUACUACAUGGUAUAACUGUGGUAAUUCUAGAGCUAAUACAUGCUUAAAAUCUCGACCCUUUGGAAGAGAUGUAUUUAUUAGAUAAAAAAUCAAUGUCUUCGGACUCUUUGAUGAUUCAUAAUAACUUUUCGAAUCGCAUGGCCUUGUGCUGGCGAUGGUUCAUUCAAAUUUCUGCCCUAUCAACUUUCGAUGGUAGGAUAGUGGCCUACCAUGGUUUCAACGGGUAACGGGGAAUAAGGGUUCGAUUCCGGAGAGGGAGCCUGAGAAACGGCUACCACAUCCAAGGAAGGCAGCAGGCGCGCAAAUUACCCAAUCCUAAUUCAGGGAGGUAGUGACAAUAAAUAACGAUACAGGGCCCAUUCGGGUCUUGUAAUUGGAAUGAGUACAAUGUAAAUACCUUAACGAGGAACAAUUGGAGGGCAAGUCUGGUGCCAGCAGCCGCGGUAAUUCCAGCUCCAAUAGCGUAUAUUAAAGUUGUUGCAGUUAAAAAGCUCGUAGUUGAACUUUGGGCCCGGUUGGCCGGUCCGAUUUUUUCGUGUACUGGAUUUCCAACGGGGCCUUUCCUUCUGGCUAACCUUGAGUCCUUGUGGCUCUUGGCGAACCAGGACUUUUACUUUGAAAAAAUUAGAGUGUUCAAAGCAGGCGUAUUGCUCGAAUAUAUUAGCAUGGAAUAAUAGAAUAGGACGUUUGGUUCUAUUUUGUUGGUUUCUAGGACCAUCGUAAUGAUUAAUAGGGACGGUCGGGGGCAUCAGUAUUCAAUUGUCAGAGGUGAAAUUCUUGGAUUUAUUGAAGACUAACUACUGCGAAAGCAUUUGCCAAGGACGUUUUCAUUAAUCAAGAACGAAAGUUAGGGGAUCGAAGAUGAUCAGAUACCGUCGUAGUCUUAACCAUAAACUAUGCCGACUAGGGAUCGGGUGGUGUUUUUUUAAUGACCCACUC